Non-coding RNA from Polypterus senegalus (gray bichir), 424 nucleotides. The record is from the annotation of a RefSeq genome assembly. Lineage: Eukaryota; Metazoa; Chordata; Cladistia; Polypteriformes; Polypteridae.
GUCUCUCUUUGCCUUUGAUACUGACUGGCAAUGGCUUCCUGGUUUCUAUUUGUCACGCUUGUGUUCCUUUUGUUACAAGAAUCCAUUGGUCAAAUUUCAAUGACUCAGUCUCCUUCAAGUCUUUCAACUCAACUAGGAAAAACGGUCAGAAUGCAUUGUAAAGUUGGCAGCUCCAUUACUGGCAGCUACAAUUAUCUGUCCUGGUACCAGCAGAGAAGUGGAGAAGCUCCUAAGCUCCUGAUGUAUCACUCAAACACUCUGCAGUCUGGGAUCUCAAAUCGAUUCAGUGGCAGCGGUUCUGGACUUGACUACACACUGACCAUCAGUGACGUGCAGCCUGAAGACGUAGGACAUUACUACUGUAAGCAGGACUGGAGUACUCCUUUCACACAGUGAUAAAGAGCCAUACAAAAACCGCAUCACC